Molecule: long non-coding RNA, 245 nt
Organism: Nilaparvata lugens (brown planthopper)
Lineage: Eukaryota; Metazoa; Arthropoda; Insecta; Hemiptera; Delphacidae
Exons: 2
Source: RefSeq, a predicted model, not a curated record
AUUGAAUCAAAUAAAAAUCUUCAGAUGAAUCUUAUCACAAUAUGAAAUAAAACUGCUAGAAAGGAAACAAUUACAAAAUUUUGAAUGAAUGUAAAUUAAUUAUACUAAUGACCGUUGAAGACUGACAACAAUUGAUAAGCAUUCAAGCUCUAAAAAAAGCAAUACCUUAAAUUGGCAAGGCUAAUUAAAUUCAAAAUUCGAAAAAGAAUCGAGACACAUUAAAUGAUGCGACCAAGGCCCUAAAU